Molecule: long non-coding RNA, 320 nt
Filed under: Phoenix dactylifera (date palm)
Lineage: Eukaryota; Viridiplantae; Streptophyta; Magnoliopsida; Arecales; Arecaceae
Description: long non-coding RNA (PDAC_LNC012789)
Source: RNAcentral
GUUUAAGCUUUUAUACAAAAUCAUAUUCUGAAUUACAUAGGAUUUUCAAUAGAGGCUUUCAAAAUCAUAAUUUGAGAUAUGUAUCUUCCACAUUAUAGCUCAUCUUAAAUCAUUACGAUUGAAAACACAUAUUUCAAACAUAUAAGAGCAUAUUCAGAAUAUUUGUAUUUAUGUUGAGUUUUGGUACGAAUUAGAACAUUAUAUGCCAAAUUUAAGCAAGUUGAAGGAUAAAACAAACUCAAUUCAUUUUGCCUAAAUAGAGAUAUCCUUCUCUUCUCCUUUUUACAAAUUUUAUUCAUCUUUCAGAUUUUAACGAUGAU